This 148-nucleotide small RNA is filed under the name Pongo abelii (Sumatran orangutan). RNAcentral's name for it is "Metazoan signal recognition particle RNA (ENSPPYG00000037967.1)". The record is from Rfam by way of RNAcentral. Lineage: Eukaryota; Metazoa; Chordata; Mammalia; Primates; Hominidae.
GCUGGGUGUGGUGGUGCACACCUGUAAUCCAAGCUACUUGGGAGGCUGAGACAGGAGAAUCGCUUGAACCCAGGAGACAGAGGUUGCAGUGAGCUGAGAUGGCACCACUGCACUCCAGACUGGGCGACAGAGUGAGACUCUGUCUCAA